CCAAUAAUCAUAAGCAUUGAAAGUGAAACGGACAAAUUUGUGUAGCGUGAAUCGGCGUAAAUGCGUUAUACCGAGUUAGUCCUGUGAAAAGCAUUUGGCAAGAUCAGAAAAUAUGGCAAUAUUUCUUGGUACGUUGACAAGUGUGCUGUCAGUAGUGUAACGUUCUCUGUAGUAUUAAGGAGUUAAUGUAGAUUCAGGAUUAUAUGCAAGGUGUUAUGCUAUGAUAUAUAACAAAUAUACAUUGACAAUACAUUCACGCUAAUUCGCUAUCCAUUUCUCUAAACAGUUGGUAGAAUUUAUGCGUGUGGUGUGCGGUAGUCCGGCGACGGCGUCCGUUUGUAGGAAAGAGGAAAGGGAGAAGGAUUCCUUUGUCGAAAUCGAAGACGACCUUGUGUAGUCGAAAAUCUACGAAGAUCAGAAAUCGAUAAAUCUGGAAUCUCUGAGAAUUCAGCAAACCCUACGUGCACUUUAUUUUCCUUCUCCCCCUCCGGUUUUUCUAUAAACUUAUCUGCACCUCAUCGAAGAUUUUUUUUUCUUUCCUGUAAAGUGGAAGAAUAACAGUGGUACAUAAAACGAUCACUCGGCUCCCAUCCUCGGGAGCUUCUGCGCCUCGGCGCCUAAGCUGUGUUAGGAAGAAAAACGAAGAAAUUACGGAAGGGGGGAGGUUAAGGGGACGGCAGGAAAGGGAAGACGCGCCGUCCAUCACCAUGAAGCUUGUCGACCACGUGGUGAGAAGCUUCAAGGUGGCAAAGGUCUUCCGAGAGAAUUCCGAUCGUAUAAACAGUAUCGAUUUCUCACCGAAUGGAGAUACACUCAUCUCCUGUUCGGAGGAUGAUCAAAUCGUGAUAUACGAUUGUGAGAAAGGCACUCAAGUACGUACAGUCAAUUCAAAGAAAUACGGCGUCGAUUUGAUUCAUUUCACACACGCCAAAAAUACUGCUAUCCACAGCAGUACCAAAGUAGAUGAUACCAUUCGAUAUCUAAGUUUGCACGAUAAUAAGUAUAUUCGAUACUUUCCUGGUCAUACUAAAAAAGUAGUAUCACUUUGUAUCAGUCCUAUAGAAGAUACAUUUCUUUCUGGAUCAUUGGAUAAGUCCUUGAGGCUUUGGGAUUUACGUUCACCAAAUUGUCAUGGAGUUAUGAAUGUUUCUGGACGUCCAGUUGCUGCAUACGAUCCUGAAGGUUUAAUCUUUGCUGCUGGAGUUAAUUCAGAGAGUAUUAAGCUAUAUGAUUUACGCAGUUUUGAUAAAGGACCCUUCGUGACCUUUAGACUUUCUCAGGAAAAGGAAUGCGACUGGACUGGCUUGAAAUUCAGCAGAGAUGGUAAGACCAUUCUGAUAUCGACCAAUGGCAGUACAAUUCGCUUGGUCGAUGCUUUCCAUGGCACUCCGUUACAAACUUUUGCUGGUUAUUUGAAUAACAAAGGCAUUGCAAUAGAAGCCAGCUUUAGUCCAGAUUCACAGUUCGUAUUUAGUGGCUCUACGGAUGGUAGAGUACAUGUAUGGAAUGCAGAAACUGGAUACAAGGUAUGUGUCCUUAAUGGAGAUCACCCUGCGCCAGUUCAGUGUAUUCAGUUCAACCCAAAAUAUAUGAUGUUGGCAUCUGCAUGUACCAAUAUGGCUUUCUGGUUACCAACAGUCGAUGAAAGUGCAUAAGACUAAUCAGACCAAUGUAGGGCUAUGCUCUCAGAAAUUUAUUUAUUAUUGGUAUGGAAAUAAGCUGAGAACUACAGCAAACAGAAAGAAAUGGCGGUGUAAAGCUCCUGGGUAUAUUGGUUGAAAGAAUAUUGCAUCUAUAAUAUGUACAAGAUGAAAGAGCCGACGUAUGAGACGCCGGUACCGGUACGAACCCAAGGAGCCAAAGGAUCGUCAAAGGACAAGAAAGAUUACCAUUACAUGAUAACCAUGGUCUUGGUACUUGCACUUGUCUGCUGCAAAAUGGCACGUUUGGAGUACGUUAUACUCUUUCUAUGUAUGUCGUCGUUGUCUUCGUCGUCUUCAUCGUCAUGCAUCCUAUGGCGCGAUGAACGCGACCAUUAUAAUACAUACCUUGUCACUGUUUAAACUUGUGACAUACCAUCACUUCUAUAACAUCUUAAAGUAUAUUACAUACUACUAGUAUUCGGAUGUGUCGUCUUGUGUACAUAGUUUCUUUCCACGUACCUGUGUGUAGUAUAAUGGAUAGAAAACAACUUAUACACUGAAAAACAUCUGUUGUGACUGUGACUUUUAUUAACUCACGAACGGUUAAAAUACUUCAGCGUAUUUGCUUUUCUUUCACUUUAUCUCAUUUAUAUAUAAGGUGAAUCAUAAAGAAGAGUUUUUAUUGUAUUGACGAUAUUUAAAAUCAAGGCAAUACAUUUUUUAUGCAUCAAUUCAAACAAGAAGGUACGUUUAACAUUUUUGUACCGUGGUAUAAGCGAUAUCUUUGAAUAAAAUUUUUCAAGCAGAAAAGAAUAGCUUGCUUACAAUUUUCUAAACAAUUUUAAUUGAAUAAAAAUAAAUUUGAUAGAAUAAAACUGAUUUUCAAAACAAAGAUGUUUGUUUUAAAUUUUGAUUGCAUCGAUGCUAUGAAAAAUGUUAACAAAUCUCAAAAACUUGACUACACACAUAUUAUUGUUAAUCUUAUUUGUAUAGAAACAGACCGUCAAUAUACAUGUACAUCCACACGUAUACAAAGAAUCAUAAAUGAGCACUCAAUUACACCUGGUUAACUCUUAGAAUUUGAACUCAUUCAUUACUUCGUUCAUUCAUACUUUUGUUUAAUCCAUUUAUUCUCAUGUACGACCGUCCGAAAACCAAAGGUGUUUGAUCAUCAUUUAUUGAAUACUAUUAAAAGUAUAUUAAUACGGUGAUACACACACGAAACAUACGAUGUUAUAAUAAGCGAGAAGAAGGUAGUCAUCGAGCUUAUUUAUUAUAUACAAUAAGCACACGAUCGCUCAUCUACGUUUUCUUUGACAGCGUUAAGCAUUUCAACUUAUUACGAAUUUUUGUACGAUAAAGUUUAUACCAUGUCUUGGCUUGCACGACUGCCACAAAUACUUGCGUUAGUAUGCGUUAUCAUAACUACGAUGUAUCAUCAUCAAUUUGCAUAUGUGAAACCGGCGGGCCGGAAUGAAAAAUUAAUCAAUAUUCGUAGUGAACGCAGUAAGGAAAACGUCUAAUCAUAAUCCACUUAUUCUCGAGUUUGACGUAAACCAGAUUCCCCCUCCUAGUCUGCCUCGAAGUGCGUACAAAUAGACAGGCUUGUUUUUUCAAAAUUUGCAUUGUAAAAACUUCAAGAUUACUAGGCUAUGUUGUAAAAAAAAAAAAAUAGACAAGAAAGAAAAAACAGAACAGAAAAGAACUUUUGCACUGCCGUCGAAUGUUGCAUACUUACACAAGCAUUCUUUGAACUUUGAUCGCAUUCGAUUCUUUGAACUUUAGUUCGAUGGUUAAUAUUUUUGAAUAUAUUUAAAUUAAAAGAAAGCACCAAUUUUCGUUCGCGCUAUUUUACAUAUACACAAAAACUAUCAUUAGCCUGCCUAUUUAACUUAAUACACCACCGUGAGAUUUUCAGUUCUUAAUCCUAAAGCUGCUUUGAUGCUUAGCGAAAGAAAAGGAAAAGGAAGAAAGAAAAGAACAACAAGAAAUACGAGGUGCAUUAGCCUAUAAAGAUAACCUAAAAUGUGAUUUAGUUAUUUCAAAAAUUUGUGUUUAACGAAUUUUUAUAUGUUCGUAAAUAAGAUUCUAUGAAUGUGGAUAUAUUAGAUAAAAAAAAAGAAAAGAAAAAAGGGACUGUACAGUACUACGAUUGAUAGAUAUUUGUUUUUGUAAACUGUGUAUUUAUAAUUUACUGUUUUUUUGUUUUUAUUUGUUUUUCUUUUCUUUUUCUUUUUUUUUUUUUUAAUCUACUAUAAUUAUAAAAUCAGCAUUUUUCCGUGUUACUAGGGUACUUUUCUUCAUGGAUUCCCAAGCGAAAAAAUUCGCAAUAGGCACGACCGAUAUAGUUUACGUUAAUGACUAAAUACUGUUUUAAAUAUUCCUAUACGAUUGUUAUUUAUUUUAAUUUAAUAUCGCCGUAACGUGAUUUCGUACGAAUUCUUUUAUUUUUAAAAAAUACCUCCAUUUUGAUAUCGUAAGUAGUAUCAAAUUAAAAUCCUCAUUACAAGAGAGAGAAAGAAAGAGAGAGAGUAACCUCAUUUUUGGUAUAAAUUUUAAAUUAAUCUAUCUAGCCGUUUAAAAACGAUAGAAUGAAGAUACACACAAAUAUGUACAUUUAAAUUUUGAUAUAAAACGUAAAGAUUCUUAACGAAUUUUUGAAUAUCUCGAGUAGUGUCGAAAAUAAUUAUUUACAUUUUUACUUUUAUCGAGAAAACUGCGGUCGUGCCUAAAAAGAAAAAAAAAAAGAAAAAAAAAGAGAAAAAUUGAAGAAAUUAAAGAAAUUAGUUCAUAUCGGUAAAACAAAAAGUUUCAAGGUCGUCGAAAAUAAUUUCCAUUUUUCGAAAUAGAUUGAAGAGGUCUUUUUAUUAUUUUUUUUCACCAGUAUAUGUACAUAUAUAUUAUAUGAUGUUCGUUAUUUUACGUCGAGUUAAUAGAUGUAUUUUCUAGACAUAGAACUUUGCGAGAAAGAAAACACGUGAUUAUAAUAUUCUACUCGAUAGAGAGAGAAUGCAUGUUUUUUUUUGCGUACGUGGAUAUAUCUACUAGGCUGGAUGCACCCAUUCGUCGUAUACUUUCGUGUACGAUCGUGCUCCGAGGGUCAGCAGCGUGCAUGCAUGCGUGCAUGCAUAUAUGUAUGUGUCGUGUGUGCUUGCUGCGUACGUGCGUGCGUCGUACGCUUGUCUUCUUCGUUAUGUAAAAUAGUAUUUUUAUAAAGGCAAAACAGUGUACGCAAGGUCCAUAAAGUCACGAUGUUAAAGAAAAAAAGAAAAAAGGCGAGAAAGAGCACGUAAAAGAUGUGAUGACGAUGACAUUCGGAUUAAUCAAAAACAAAGAUUCUAGAAAUUGGAAUAGGAGCUCCAGACAUUAAAUCUCGUCCUUCUAUUGUUUUUGGAAAUGCUAUAACAUUUCUGAUACUUUUCGUAUUACAGAGUAUACAAAGAAGACGAUCCAGACCUAAAAAGUAUGUUUUGUUACAAGAUAUUUCAUAUCUUCUGGAUGAGGUUGUGUAAAUGGAUGAUGCAUACUUUCUAACAACUGUGAUUCAUUUACUUCAAAUAAUGGAAAAUCUAUAAGCCAUAAAAAGUUAUAGCCAGACGAACGUAUUUUUAAAUUAUUAUUUUCCAAUACGUUUGUAAAUUCAAUUCGUAAUUUUCCUAAAAGUUUUUGCUAGAAUAUGUAUAAAAUAAUUUUUAUUUUUUAAGUUAAUUCGAUAUAAUUAAUAUAAUAAUUUAUAUUAUAUUAUUACAUACAGAAUCAAGCUUAGGACCAAUGGUUAAAAAUAGAAUGUCUCCAAUAUUCAAGUUCAACAUUUGUAUUAUAUCUUCUGCUAUAUUCGCGGAAAAUAAUUUGUCCAAUUGUAAUUUCCAAGAAUUAUCAGAAAUUUUUAUUUGAAACAAUUUGGUAGCUGAAAAAUAUAUGUUUUUUAUAUUGUUGAAUUCUUCCCUAACAGAACGUGUUAAGUAUUCCUAUAAAAUAUAAUAUAUAGAAAUCAGUUCAAAAAACAUUAUUUAAAUAUAUAUAUCUAUAUUAUGAAAUAACUCACAUGUUUAUUGGGAAAAACCAAAGCACAGAUUUCGCAAUCUUUGUUAUUUGUUAACUUAAUAUUUUCCUCCAAAACAGUCAUAUUAAUAAUUUUUUUAAGAUAUUGAAUCUGAAAAAAUGAUAUAAUGUAUAUUUAGUAGGUAAUGCUGAAUAUAAAAUUUAUGUAUGCGUGCAUUUGUACAUGCAAUUUUCUUACUUCAUAAGGUAUUCUCAAAUCUGGUUGAUCUGUACCAUACAACCUCAUUGCAUCAUCAUAAAUCAUGCGUUUAAAAGGUGUAGUUAUAGUUUCUGGCCAACUAUACCUUAGUAGAUUUUCAAUUAAUUCCAUUAUACCAUUUUGAUCAGCAAAUGACAUUUCAAUAUCUAACUGUAUAAUUACUUCAUUAUAAAUUUUAAUAAUGCAUAUGUAAAAAAUAGAUACUUAAUCAUCUACCUGUGUGAACUCAGGUUGUCUAUCAUGUCUUGCACUUUCAUCUCUGUAACAUCGAGCAAUUUGAAAAUACCUAUCAAUUCCACCUACCAUCAAUAAUUGUUUAAAUUGUUGUGGACUUUGUACAAGGGAAUAAAAUUUUCCUGCAUGUCU
Vespula vulgaris is the source of this 6270-nucleotide RNA transcript. It is a transcript of the gene named WD repeat-containing protein 82, with no coding region annotated. The record is from RefSeq and is a predicted model, not a curated record. Lineage: Eukaryota; Metazoa; Arthropoda; Insecta; Hymenoptera; Vespidae. The transcript has 3 exons.